GACGAACGCUGGCGGCGUGCUUAACACAUGCAAGUCGAACGGAAAGGCCCUGCUUUUGUGGGGUGCUCGAGUGGCGAACGGGUGAGUAACACGUGAGUAACCUGCCCUUGACUUUGGGAUAACUUCAGGAAACUGGGGCUAAUACCGGAUAGGAGCUCCUGCUGCAUGGUGGGGGUUGGAAAGUUUCGGCGGUUGGGGAUGGACUCGCGGCUUAUCAGCUUGUUGGUGGGGUAGUGGCUUACCAAGGCUUUGACGGGUAGCCGGCCUGAGAGGGUGACCGGCCACAUUAGGACUGAGAUACGGCCCAGACUCCUACGGGAGGCAGCAGUGGGGAAUAUUGCACAAUGGGCGGAAGCCUGAGGCAGCAACGCCGCGUGCGGGAUGACGGCCUUCGGGUUGUAAACCGCUUUCGCCUGUGACGAAGCGUGAGUGACGGUAAUGUGUAAAGAAGCACCGGCUAACUACGUG
RNAcentral lists this ribosomal RNA (468 nucleotides) under uncultured bacterium. RNAcentral's name for it is "partial 16S ribosomal RNA". It matches the Rfam family "Bacterial small subunit ribosomal RNA", at positions 28 to 507 of the family's 1533-position model. The record is from RNAcentral.